GAUGAACGCUGGCGGCGUGCCUAAUACAUGCAAGUCGAGCGAAUGGAUUAAGAGCUUGCUCUUAUGAAGUUAGCGGCGGACGGGUGAGUAACACGUGAGUAACCUGCCCAUAAGACUGGGAUAACUCCGGGAAACCGGGGCUAAUACCGGAUAACAUUUUGAACCGCCUGAUUCGAAAUUGAAAGGCGGCUUCGGCUGUCACUUAUGGAUGGACCCGCGUCGCAUUAGCUAGUUGGUGAGGUAACGGCUCACCAAGGCAACGAUGCGUAGCCGACCUGAGAGGGUGAUCGGCCACACUGGGACUGAGACACGGCCCAGACUCCUACGGGAGGCAGCAGUAGGGAAUCUUCCGCAAUGGACGAAAGUCUGACGGAGCAACGCCGCGUGAGUGAUGAAGGCUUUCGGGUCGUAAAACUCUGUUGUUAGGGAAGAACAAGUGCUAGUUGAAUAAGCUGGCACCUUGACGGUACCUAACCAGAAAGCCACGGCUAACUACGUGCCAGCCGCCGCGGUAA
This 515-nucleotide ribosomal RNA is filed under the name uncultured bacterium. RNAcentral describes it as "partial 16S ribosomal RNA". It matches the Rfam family "Bacterial small subunit ribosomal RNA", at positions 28 to 523 of the family's 1533-position model. The record is from RNAcentral.